This 497-nucleotide ribosomal RNA is filed under the name uncultured bacterium. RNAcentral's name for it is "partial 16S ribosomal RNA". It matches the Rfam family "Bacterial small subunit ribosomal RNA", at positions 28 to 507 of the family's 1533-position model. The record is from RNAcentral.
GAUGAACGCUGGCGGCGUGCCUAAUACAUGCAAGUCGAGCGAACAGACGAGGAGCUUGCUCCUCUGACGUUAGCGGCGGACGGGUGAGUAACACGUGGAUAACCUACCUAUAAGACUGGGAUAACUUCGGGAAACCGGAGCUAAUACCGGAUAAUAUAUUGAACCGCAUGGUUCAAUAGUGAAAGACGGUUGUGCUGUCACUUAUAGAUGGAUCCGCGCCGCAUUAGCUAGUUGGUAAGGUAACGGCUUACCAAGGCAACGAUGCGUAGCCGACCUGAGAGGGUGGUCGCCCACACUGGAACUGGGACACGGUCCAGACUCCUACGGGAGGCAGCAGUAGGGAAUCUUCCGCAAUGGGCGAAAGCUUGACGGAGCAACGCCGCGUGAGUGAUGACGGUCUUCGGAUCGUAAAACUCUGUUAUUAGGGAAGAACAAAUGUGUAAGUAACUAUGCACGUCUUGACGGUACCUAAUCAGAAAGCCACGGCUAACUACGUG